Molecule: ribosomal RNA, 960 nt
Filed under: Triticum aestivum (bread wheat)
Lineage: Eukaryota; Viridiplantae; Streptophyta; Magnoliopsida; Poales; Poaceae
Description: partial small subunit ribosomal RNA
Source: RNAcentral
AUGGUCCAACAGGUACGCCGCGACCUCCCUGAACCCUGUCUCCCCUACCCGAACGGACUUCUUCAGUCCCGGCUGGCCAAGCGCUCUCCCGGUGAACCCUUUCGGGUUGUUCGGGGCGAAGGGCUCCUCAUCUGUGGGCUUGACAAUGGCGACUCUGUCGCCCUCAUCAUUCCUGAAGUAGUAGGAGCCGCCAAGGCCACUGUCAAUGGGGACCGGAUCCAGCCCGCUCAUUAUGCCGGUGGCCACGUCGUCGACGAGGCGCCUCACGCUGCCGCUCGACGACCCGAGUAUCUCCACCAGGCCGCUGCAGUCCUUCUGCUCGAAGUCCUCGGAGACCGGGCAGAGGCACGGGGUGGAGCAGCUGCGGUGGAUGCUGUUGCGGGUGAGCAGCAGCGGCGAGUCGUGGCGGACGGAGGAGAGGUCGUUCUCCAGGACGCGGUCGCCGAAGGUGAGCGAGGUCCCGCCGGUGGGCACGUUGAGGGCGAGCUGCAGCCGGCGCUUGACGGUGUGCGCGUUGUCGCCGCGGUCCAGGUCCAUGCCCAGCACGCACCCGGACUCCGUCUGCACGAACACCCGCCGCCUCCCUGCCGGAGGCGGCGAGGGCGACGGCCGCGGCGCCUGGCGGUGGUGGUGCUGAGUGGCCGCCGCCUCAUCCCGGCGCGCCCCGGCGCCGAAGAGGCGCCGGAGGAGCAGCGCCGGCACCUGGCUCUUGAGCGUGCCCUCCAGGUUGGGGGACAUGGCGGCCGCCGCUCCCUUUCCUCCUCCGCCGCUUGGUGCGCCCGCCGCGCGCCGACGCCGUCAGGGAGAGCAGGGGAAGGCGCGCUCUCGUUGCUAUCAUCGGAUCACGCCUAUGCAGCGAAGGGGAGGGCGGGAAUUGAUUGUCAGUCAGCCAAGGUCUCACCAUGGAGGAGGGGGCGGGGCGCUGGAGGACGGUGGGGGGAUCGGCCGGCGGCGAGGUAG